This 292-nucleotide ribosomal RNA is filed under the name uncultured bacterium. RNAcentral describes it as "partial 16S ribosomal RNA". It matches the Rfam family "Bacterial small subunit ribosomal RNA", at positions 505 to 796 of the family's 1533-position model. The record is from RNAcentral.
GUGCCAGCAGCCGCGGUAAUACGUAGGGUGCAGGCGUUAAUCGGAAUUACUGGGCGUAAAGCGUGCGCAGGCGGCUUCUCAAGUCAGAUGUGAAAUCCCCGGGCUUAACCUGGGAACUGCGUUUGAAACUGGGGAGCUAGAGUGUGGCAGAGGGGGGUGGAAUUCCACGUGUAGCAGUGAAAUGCGUAGAUAUGUGGAGGAACACCGAUGGCGAAGGCAGCCCCCUGGGCCUGCACUGACGCUCAUGCACGAAAGCGUGGGGAGCAAACAGGAUUAGAUACCCCUGUAGUCC